ACUGAAUAUGCAGCCAUGGAACUGCUAAAUCCGAGACUCCAGUUCCGGUCAAUCGUGUUUGUCAGCCUAAAUCACCCUUUGGCAACCCGACUGAACAAAUGCGAUGACGCGACUUGUGUAGCGAGGGGUUUUCCACAGUGGAACCUGUUGUUGUUUCUAAAACUU
Long non-coding RNA from Cucurbita maxima (winter squash), 165 nucleotides. RefSeq lists it as uncharacterized. The transcript is spliced from 3 exons. The record is from RefSeq and is a predicted model, not a curated record. Lineage: Eukaryota; Viridiplantae; Streptophyta; Magnoliopsida; Cucurbitales; Cucurbitaceae.